This 259-nucleotide long non-coding RNA is filed under the name Nicotiana benthamiana. RNAcentral's name for it is "long non-coding RNA (NBEN_LNC002914)". The record is from RNAcentral. Lineage: Eukaryota; Viridiplantae; Streptophyta; Magnoliopsida; Solanales; Solanaceae.
UAUGAGGUAAAUAUUAAUUGUACUAUUCUAAUCGAUUAUUUUCUUUAAUAAUUUUUCUCUUCGAUUUUCAAAGGUACAGUGGCUCGGGAUGUAAUUCCUUCGUAUGGUUUGAUUCCCCAGCUCUAGAGCACUUGAAAAUUGUGAUCUUGGUACUGCUUAAGAAGAAGAGGGUGUUCAAUACAUUAUUGAAGAAAAAUAUAAUCAAAUAAAUUGGAGGAGAUUGUGUGUAUUGAUUUUAAUUGUAAUUAUAUUGAGGUUG